Molecule: ribosomal RNA, 231 nt
Filed under: uncultured bacterium
Lineage: Bacteria
Description: partial 16S ribosomal RNA
Rfam family: Bacterial small subunit ribosomal RNA
Source: RNAcentral
CGGGUGCGUAACACGUGAGCAACCUACCGAAAUGUGGGGGAUAGCCGGCCUAACGGCCGAGUAAUACCGCAUACGCUUUCAGAGAGGCAUUUCUUUGAAAGGAAACCUACGGGACAUUUCGAGGGGCUCGCGGCCUAUCAGCUAGUUGGCGAGGUAACGGCUCACCAAGGCAACGACGGGUAGCUGGUCUGAGAGGAUGGCCAGCCACAUUGGGACUGAGAUACGGCCCAG